This 368-nucleotide ribosomal RNA is filed under the name uncultured organism. RNAcentral's name for it is "bacterial SSU rRNA". It matches the Rfam family "Bacterial small subunit ribosomal RNA", at positions 526 to 896 of the family's 1533-position model. The record is from RNAcentral.
CGUAAGGGGCAAGCGUUGUCCGGAAUCACUGGGCGUAAAGGGCGCGUAGGCGGUUUUGUAAGUAGAAGGUGAAAGAUUCGGGCUCAACCCGAAAACUGCCUUCUAAACUGCAUUACUUGAGGGUCUGAGGGGAAGCUGGAAUUCACGGUGUAGCGGUGAAAUGCGUAGAUAUCGUGGAGAACACCCGUGGCGAAAGCGGGCUUCUGGCAGACUCCUGACGCUGAGGCGCGAAGGCUAGGGGAGCAAACGGGAUUAGAUACCCCGGUAGUCCUAGCUGUAAACGAUGGAAACUGGGUGUGGGAUCUUCGGAUUCCGUGCCGGCGCUAACGCAUUAAGUUUCCCGCCUGGGGACUACGAUCGCAAGAUUA